Molecule: long non-coding RNA, 6110 nt
Filed under: Sus scrofa (pig)
Lineage: Eukaryota; Metazoa; Chordata; Mammalia; Artiodactyla; Suidae
Description: lncRNA (ENSSSCG00000055193.1)
Source: RNAcentral
GUCUUGUUCCUGAUGGAUCAAAAUUAGUUCUUCAAGGCAGUAGCAGUAGAUGGCAAGAUUUUACAUUCUCCAUUUUGGAAACUUCUAUGGAAAUGUACAGAAUAUUUGGAAUAUUCUGAGCACGGUAUUUGCUAAAUCAGUAAAUGCAACAAAUGGCAUAGUCUGCCAACUAACAACCCUGACAUGGGUUAUUCUUGCACCUUGGAAUGCUUCAUACUUCCCGUGAACUUCUCUCUCUCUGUUAAACACACACACACACACACACACACACACACACACACACACACCCCACACCCCCAUACCUUCCUCUCUUAACGUGGCUGAUUCCUACUUAUCUUAGUCCCUUGUUGUCUAUGUAAUAUUACUUGUUAAAUUUGCCCCUUUUACACUGUGUUCUCAUCACAUUUGCAAUGGUAUUGUUUAAAUAUGUGUAUUCAUAUGUUGGGUGAUUACUUGUUGAAGCUCUGGAUUUUUCUCCAUACAUUCAGCUCCCUGAGGGGAAGCCAUGUCUGGGUUGCAAAUGCUGUCUUUUCAAUGUAUGGCCCAAUGCCUGGACAGAGCAGGCACUUCUGGCAGAAACAGAGUAGCUUCCGCUGAGCUUGUUUCCUUUUGCUCAUGGACAUGAGCCGGCCUCCAUUUCCUAGUCUCACUUUCAGAUGAACAUGGUCAUUUGAUGGAGUUCUGGCCAGUGGACUGCAAGUGGGAAUGACAUGUACCACUUCCCAGUCUUGCCUUUAAAAAUCUCCCCUGUGAGAACUUCCAUGCUCGUCCCUCAUACCACUGGCAUGUGGGAGUCAAGUACAGUGCUUUUGGAAGCUGUAUAUUGAAGACAUUGAAGCCAAAAGGUGGAAGGAAUCUGAGUUCCUGAGUCAUCACUGAGAAUAAAGCCAUCACCAAUCAGGGUUACCUGUAUGGACAAUACUUGAAUGAAAAGCUUUUGUUCUAUUUGAGCUUUUAUAUUUUUUAUGUAUUUGAGCUUAUUUGUCACAAUGGCUAGCAUUACCUCAAUUAAUAUAAUACUCAUUCUUUUUAAUUUUAUUUAAAAAAUUAUUGGGGUAUAGUUGAUUUACAAUGUUGUAUUAGCAUUAGGUUUACAGCAAAGUGAAUCAGUUAGACAUCUACACAUAUCUAUUCUUUUUUUCCAUAUAAGUUAUUACAGAACAUUGAGUAAACCUCCCUGUGCUGUACAGCCGGUCCUUAAUACUCAUUUUGUGUGUGUGUGUGUGUGUGUGUGUGUGUGUGUGUGUGUGUGUGCAUGUGGAAUUAAUAGAUGCACACAGAGAAACAGAUAUCUAGGUACAGAUUGUAUCAUUAGAUAUGUGGAGGCCAUAUAAUGCCAAUCUUCAAGGUAUGAAAAGAUAAAUGAUUUCAUGGGUAGGAGUGAGUUGGUAUACCAGCAAUCUAAAAUUCCCUUGCAGCCAUGAGACACAUCCCUCAGACUGAAGUUAACAGAAGCUUGAUCUCCCUUUGCAGCUAUAAAUCUAUAAAUACCCUCUCUUCUUUAAGACACCUAUCGUUCCCAGCUGCUAUAGACUGAAUGUUUGUGUUCCUCCCAAAUCCAUUUGUUGGAAUCCCCAAUGUGUUGAUAUUGGGAGAUGGGGCCUUUGGGUGGUGACAAGGUCACGAGGGCUUCACCCUUACUAUAGUACUUUAACAUGAGAACUUGAUAUCUGUGGGGUUAAUGCCCCUACAAAUCAGGCUGCAGAGAGUUCCUUCAUGCUCUCUUCCACUUGAGGAGAUGGCUGUCUAUGAACUAUGAAGUGAGACUUCAUCAGACAUGCUUAGCUGUUGGUGUCUGUAUCUUGGACUUCACCGCCCCAAGAACUGUGAGAAAUAAAUUUCUGUUGUUUAUAAGGCUCUCAUUCUCUGGUAUUUUGUUACAGCAGCCUAAACAUACAAGAACGAGUGCUCUCUAUUCAAACACCAUCCUCCCUUCCUGUGCCAUUUUACCAGGUAUUAAUCCAACAUUUUACCAGGUAUUAAUGAUCUUUUUUUUUUUUUUAAUUUUCCCACUGUACAGCAAGGGGGUCAGGUUAUCCUUACAUGUAUACAUUGCAAUUACAGUUUUUCCCCCACUCUUUCUUCUAUUAAUGAUCUUUUGAAGCCAACUUGUAUGGAGGAGUAAACCACUGCUUUCUGCUUCAUUUUUCAUAGGGAGGAUAUGCAUUUUUAGGAAGAAUGGCAAUAAUUGGUCUUUCAUUGCUGAAAUUUCAGGAGCAAAUUAAAAUGGAGCAAAGAUUAUUAAGCAGCAGAAGGCCACUUAUACUCUCAUCACCCCAAAGUAUUUGCAAUACUCUAUCCAGAAUGCAGAGCUGAAUGAUAGUGGAGGUCUCAGAUCUUGAUAAAAAUAUAAAACCUCCUUCUCGGCCCUAAACUUCAACCUCUGGGCUUCUGUUAUUGAGGGGAAAAUAAUUCUUAACUGAAAUAGGCACCAAUGUCUUAUGACCAUGUACUGCCUUCCAGCAUCAUGGAUGCUAAGUGACAGAGAGGAGAAGUAGAUGUUAUAGGGCCAGGAAAACUUUUUAGAAAUGCUUUGUCACGGAUUCAGUUUGACAAAGAUGUAAGAGAUGAGGCAACUGAAAAAAAUUCUACUCCACCUGGGACCUUUCUUCUUAGAAGGGUAGGACCUGGUGAUGAAGCCCAGACCUGAUGGACCAGAAGAAUCUGCAGUGACCUUGCCUACAUCCCCCACUCCCAGGCCUAAGAACUAAAGACAGCCCAUCUAGUAUAUCAGGACAUUAAAGGACCAGUUCUUGCUGUGAAUGAGAUCUGGAUAAAGUGUGUUAUUCCCAAGCAAGGUUUAAAGUCCUGGAUGAAUAUAGCAUCACUGCUGCCUCCGUGAGUCCUGGGCUGUUGCCUUCUCUCCUCACCCUCACCAUCUGUGGCCUGUCUGCUUGAAUAACUGAGGAACUUCAUUCUAAAGUACCCUUAGGAUUAAAACCUAACUCUACAUCUCAAGAUGGUUAGUUGGGAUUCAAGGCUAUCUUAUCCUGCUAUGCCCCUUUCCCAUAGAGCUAAAUUCAGAUAGACUUUCUUGACUCAUAGCUGAGCCACCUACUCAGCAAUGGCCAGUCCUUUCCUAAAAGCCCUUGAAUCUUUUCUCCAGCAUUUAAUUUCAUGUGCUUAUGCUGCUCUUCACGGUAACCUGCCUUAAGGUCCUGGGCAAUGUAUUAUUUACCACCAUAUCCCCAGGGCUCAGCAUGGAGUUUGGUGCAGAGAAGGUCAAUUUUAAGUAUACACUGUCUAUGUAAAUGAUUUGGUGGUUUGGAAAACUGAUCCAUAGUGGAGAAAAGACCAACUCAUGCUGCUCUGAUUCAUUUUCUUUCUCCUGUUUGUUUCCACCUUAGGCCACAUAACCAAAGCCAUAACCCAGAGUUUGGCCAAGUGUCACCUAUAGAUUUUUCCCAACUGAGGAUAUGGGAAGUAGGAAGUGUCAAACAUAGUGAAACAUAGUGUAGUAACCUGCUACUACUGUUAGAGAUAGAGUAGGCACAGGUGGUUGUAGAAGUCCCAGUAGGGGAUCAUAGAUAAAGAGGGAAACCUGAGGGAUGUUGGGAGACCACUGUAAGUUCAGGAAAGCCAUCAGAACAAGGCAGGCUUGCUUAACUAGUGGAGGUGUGAGAAUUGCUUCAGGUCAUUGAGUGGGGGAUGGGAUGAGGCUGCCUCCAGAUUCAGACCAAGGCCAGAGUUUGAAGACUGCUCUUCAGCUGAUUUGAAGACACAUCUUACCUGAUACUAAGGAGGAGCUACUACUCCCAGAAAGGAAGAGGCAGGCCUUUCUCCUCUUGGAGGAUAAAACUGUGGCCCACUGGCUCCUCAGGCAGAGCUUCCUUGCCUGCCCACUUGCAUCUCUUAUAAGCAUCCUAGCCUAACAAAUCUAUUUCUUGCCUAUCACUUUAUCUCUUGCUGAAUUCCUUCUGGGUGGAGGCAUAAAGAACCUGAACCUUAGUGAGUCCAGACAGAGGGUGAGUAACUUGAAUUUAAAACCAUGGGUUUAAAUGUCAAUCGACAGAUGAUUGGUUUAGGAAGAUGUGGUAUAUAUGCAAAAUGGAAUACUACUCAGCCAUAGAAAAGAACAAAAUAAUGCCAUUUGCAGCAACAUAGAUGGAACCAGAGACUCUCAUCCUGAGUGAAGUAAGUCAGAAAGAGAAAGACUAAUACCAUAUGAUAUCACAUAUCUGAAAUCUAAUAUUUGGCACAAAGGAAACUUUCCACAGAAAAGAAACUCAUGGACUGGGAGAAUAGACUUCUGGUUGCCGAGGGGGAAGGAGUGGGAUGGAUUGGGAGCUUGGGGAUAAUACAUGCAGACCACUGCCUUUGGAAUGGAUUAGCAAUGAGAUGCUGCUGUGUAGCACUGGGACCUAUGUCUAAUCACUUAUGAUGGAGCAUGAUAAUGUAAGAAAAAAAUGUAUACAUGUAUGUGUGACUGGGUCACCAUGCUGUACAGUAGAAAAUAUAAAAUAAAAUAAUUUCCUUUAUAAGAAAAAAAAUAAUAAAGCCAUGGGUUUAAGUCCAAAUCUGGCUUUAGGUUGUGUUCAAGUCCCGGCAUGUGGAUUCAAGUUCCAGUCUGGGUUUUGGCUGGGUUUAAGUCCUGGCAUGUUGGUUCAAGUCCUAAUCUGUGUUCUGGCUGUCAGUUUCACUACUACUAAAAGUUUUGGGCAAUAAGUUUUUUUUUUCCCCCCUAAGGGAAUAUAGAGCUGGCAGAAAUUUGACCUCAGGGAGAUGAGAUAGUUGAUCACACUGGAAAGGACUAAAGAAUGAAAAGUAGAUUGCUUUAAAUCUAAGGUUCUGAAAUACACGGAGCACAACGUGGCCACUAAAUCCUAACAAUAGUAUUUCAGUAGUAAUUGUAGGAGUAACUGUGGUGACUGCAACAAUUAUGAUCAUUGCCAUCUUGUCAUCACUAUCACCACGUAUUAGUAUUCGAAGGUCCUUCCAGGACUCCUGCUGCCAUAGCUGUGCCCCAAGGAAACAAUUCUCGCAUUCCCUCUGCUUUGUUUCUCCAGCUGUAGAGUCAGAGCCUUAGAAAGGGGAGAGAGACAGAUGGAGACCAGGUUAUACAUCCACACCUCACAUGCCAGGCAGCUGGGAAAAGGAAAUCCUCCAUUUCCAUCUCUGAGGAAAGUACGAGAUGUGAAUCACUUUUUCCAUAUUCCACAUAUAAAGGAUGGUGGACCCUCCAAGGAUGUUUGUAUUUGAAUGAAGCUGGAAAACUUUCACCACACUACACUGACUUUACAAUAUUUUUAUGCUUUUGUUUCCUAUUUCCCUCUGUAAACAUAUAAAAUAUCUUACUUUCCAUUUAAUUCAUGUGGAAUAUUACUGAAUAGAAAUAAUCAAAAUAACAAAAAUUGGUAAUGUCUAAAACUUUGCAUGAUUAAAUAUGUUUCAGGUGAAGGAGUUCCCAUCCUGGCACAGCAGAAAUGAAUCUGACUAGGAACCAUGAGGUUGUAGGUUUGAUCCCUGGCUUUGCUCUGUGGGUUAAGGAUCCAACGUUGCUGUGAGCUGUGGUGUAGGUCACAGAUACGGCUCAGAUCCUGUGUUGCUGUGGCUGUGGUGUAGGCCAGCAGAUGUAGCUCUGAUUUGACCCCUAGCCUGGGAACCUCCAUAUGCCAUGACUGCGGCCCUAAAAAAGAAAAAAUUGAGGAAUCAACUGGGGAAAUAAUGUUUUCUGGAGAAAUAAUGAAACCAUUAUAGGCUAAAACUAGAUAAAGUAAAAAAUUGACAAGACAUUAAUAAGUAAAUAAAAUAAUUUAGACAUAAUUUAUAGAUGCAAAAUUGAGUUAAGAAAAUUAGACUUUGGGGAAAUAAUGGCCCCCCAAAAAACUUCCCAUGGCAGUUUAACACAGAUGAAAAAAUAAAUAGGGGUUCCCAUCGUGGCUGAGUGGUUAAUGAAUCUGACUAGGAACCAUGAGGUUGAGGGUUCGAUCCCUGGCCUUGCUCAGUGGGUUAAGGAUCCGGUGUUGCCGGGAGCUGUGGUGUAGGUUGCAGACGCAGCUCGGAUCCCGCGUUGCUGUGGCUCUGGCGUAGGUCACUGGCUACAGCUCCGAUUAGACCCCUAGCCUGGGAAUCUCCAUUUGCCACAGGAUCAGCUCAAGAAAUGGCAAAAG